RNAcentral lists this ribosomal RNA (402 nucleotides) under bacterium. RNAcentral describes it as "partial 16S ribosomal RNA". It matches the Rfam family "Bacterial small subunit ribosomal RNA", at positions 355 to 775 of the family's 1533-position model. The record is from RNAcentral.
UGGGGAAUAUUGCACAAUGGAGGGAACUCUGAUGCAGCGACGCCGCGUGAACGAAGAAGGCUUUCGAGUCGUAAAGUUCUUUUAUAUGGGAAGAUAAUGACGGUACCAUAAGAAAAAGCCCCGGCUAACUACGUGCCAGCAGCCGCGGUAAUACGUAGGGGGCUAGCGUUGUCCGGAAUCACUGGGCGUAAAGGGUUCGCAGGCGGAAAUGCAAGUCAGGUGUAAAAGGCAGUAGCUUAACUACUGUAAGCAUUUGAAACUGCAUAUCUUGAGAAGAGUAGAGGUAAGUGGAAUUUUUAGUGUAGAGGUGAAAUGCGUAGAUAUUAAAAAGAAUACCGGUGGCGAAGGCGACUUACUGGGCUCAUUCUGACGCUGAGGAACGAAAGCGUGGGUAGCAAACAG